AGUUCGAUUCUGGCUCAGAUUGAACGCUGGCGGGAUGUUUACACAUGCAAGUCGAACGGCAGCACGGACUUCGGUCUGGUGGCGAGUGGCGAACGGGUGAGUGACGUAUCGGAACGUGCCUAGUAGAGGGGAUAACUACGCGAAAGCGUGUUUAAUACCGCAUACGCCCUUCGGGGGAAAGCGGGGGACCUUCGGGCCUCGCACAUUAGAGCGGGCCGAUAUCGGAUUAGCUAGUUGGUGUAACGGCUCGUCAAGGCGAUUGUGAUCCGUAGCUGGUUUGAGAGGACGACCAGCCACACUGGGACUGAGACACGGCCCAGACUCCGGCGGAGGUACAGUGGGAAUUUUGGACAAUGGGAAACUCGAUCCAGCCAUCCUUGCGUGUGUGAUGAAGGCCUUCGGGUUGUAAAGCACUUUUGGCAGUGGAGAAACUGCACGGGAUAAUACCCCGUGCAACUGACGGUACCUGCAGAAUAAGCACCGGCUAUCACGCCAAAACAGCCGUGUAAUACGUAGGGUAAGCGUUAAUCGGAAUUACUGGGCGUAAGUGCGCAGGCGGUUCAAAGAAAGAUGUGAAAUCCCAGAGCUUAACUUUGAACUGCAUUUUUAACUACCGAGCUAGAGUGUCAGAGGGAGGUGGAAUUCCGCGUGUAGCAGUGAAAUGCGUAGAUAUGCGGAGGAACACCGAUGGCGAAGGCAGCCUCCUGGGAUAACACCGACGCUCAUGCACGAAAGCGGGAGCAAACAGGACAGGAUACCCUGGUAGUCCACGCUCUAAACGAUGUCAACUAGUUGCUGGGGCCUCUCGGGCCUUGGUAGCGCAGCUAACGCGCGUGAAGUUGACCGCCUGGGGAGUGGGCGGUCGCAAAGAUUAAAAACCAGCACUGAUGGGGACCCGGUAAUGUUGUGGAUGAUGUGGAUUAUCCGGAUGCAACGCGAAAACCUUACCUACCCUUGACAUGUCUGGAAUCCCGAAGAGAUUUGGGAGUGCUCGUAUGAGAAACCGGAACACAGGUGCUGUAUGGCUACUGUCGCCUGUACCAGAUGUUGGGUUAAGUCCCGCAACGAGCGCAACCCCGUCAUUAGUUGCUACGAAAGGGCACUCCAUCGAGACUGCCGGUGACAAACCGGAGGAAGGUGGGGAUGACGUCAAGUCCUCAUGGCCCUUAUGGGUAGGGCUUCACACGUCAUACAAUGGUCGGGACAGAGGGUCGCCAACCCGCGAGGGAGCCAAUCCCAGAAACCCGAUCGGUCCGGAUCGCAGUCUGCAACUCGACUGCGUGAAGUCGGAAUCGCUAGUAAUCGCGGAUCAGCAGCCAGCAGGCUAUGUUCCCGGGUCUUGGGUGUAGACACCGCCCGUCACACCAUGGAUGGGUUUUACCAGAAGUAGUUAGGCCUAACCGUAAGGAGGGCGAUUACCACGGUAGGAUUCAUGACUGGGGUGAAGUCGUAACAAGGUAA
RNAcentral lists this ribosomal RNA (1461 nucleotides) under uncultured Bordetella sp. RNAcentral describes it as "partial 16S-23S ribosomal RNA intergenic spacer". It matches the Rfam family "Bacterial small subunit ribosomal RNA". The record is from RNAcentral. Lineage: Bacteria; Pseudomonadati; Pseudomonadota; Betaproteobacteria; Burkholderiales; Alcaligenaceae.